Molecule: non-coding RNA, 23 nt
Filed under: Cricetulus griseus (Chinese hamster)
Lineage: Eukaryota; Metazoa; Chordata; Mammalia; Rodentia; Cricetidae
Source: RNAcentral
AGGGACUGUAGAGAUGGCUCAGA